Molecule: long non-coding RNA, 9593 nt
Filed under: Populus trichocarpa (black cottonwood)
Lineage: Eukaryota; Viridiplantae; Streptophyta; Magnoliopsida; Malpighiales; Salicaceae
Description: long non-coding RNA (PTRI_LNC000847)
Source: RNAcentral
UAAAUGUAUCAAAAACAAGAACACCCAAUAUUCCAAGCCUGGUUCACAUCCAAGAUAUUGAAGAGGUCAAUGCUUCGGUCAAUGCAGACGAGAGUGUUGAGGUCAACAGCCAAGUCUCCAUGAUUUGCUUAUUAAUUGGAUCCUCAAAAACAAAGAGCAAAUACCAUGAGAAUAUUCGAAAGAAAUAAUUGAAGGAGCUUAAGCAAAGAUGCCAUUCAUAUAUAUUAAGAGAUUAGGUAAAAAGAAUGGGGAACUACCAGGAACGUAGGACGAGAUUGCGUUUGAAGGAAAAGAAGCGGUAUUAUUUUGACUCACAAUCUUGGAACAAGUACAAAUAAGUCCUUCUCCUUUAUAGUCUGGCCAAUCUACCCCCAAGCUUUGUCUUGCCUUGGCCUUUUGCCCUCUCUCACACUGCAGAUAUAAAUCAUGCUCGUCUUCUGUUUUCGCAGAUACAAAACCCCAGUACUUAUAUUUGGAAUACCAUGAUUAGAGGCUACUCUGAAGCCAAAAUGGGCCAUAGCGGCUUCUUGUUUUUCUGCCAAAUGCUUCAAAAUGGCGCUGAAAUGCACUGUAGGAGCUUUGUUCUUGCGCUCAAAGCGCAGUUUUUGAGAGUUUUAGGAGGGAAAUCAGUUCAUUGUGGUAUUCGAAAGAUGGGUUUUGUUUAUGCUAUGUUGUUUCAAGAUGGGUUGGCUCGUUUUUAUGAUCUGCGUGGUUGUUUGGGUUUUGCUUGACACUUGUUUGAUGGAAUUCCUGCUAGAGAUGGAUUUUCUGUCUAUGACUGAUGGGUAUUCUAAGCGUAACUGUUGGGAUGAGACCUGGAAGCUUUUUUACUCGAUGUCAGUGGAGGGUAAUGUAGAGCCAGAAGAGGUCACUAUGAUAGCCGCUCGUUCAGCUUGCUCGCAGAAGGGGGGUUUGAGAUCAGGGAAGAGUUUUCACGAAUAUGUAAAACUAGAAAUGCAAGUGACCAUGAAUGUGAAAUGUGGCUGCUUGGAUUCUGCAAGAGGGAUCUUUGAUACCAUGGGAGUUAGAGAUGUGUUCUCUUGGACGAGCAUGGUUAAUGGGUAUGCUAAAAGCGGUGAGCUAGAGCUGGCAAGGAUGUCGUUUAAUGAGAUGCCGGAGAGGAAUGUGGUUUCCUGGAGUGCCAUGAUUGCUGGGAAACCACCCAAAGGAAGCUUUAGAAUGGUUUGUUACAUGCUGGAGGCUGCGUUUGUUCCAAUGGAGAACAUUAGUUCGUGUGCUCUCUGCUUGUGGUCAAUUGGAUUGCUUGGAAUUUGGUCAGUGAAUCCAUUGAAAUUACAUUAUCGUUACAAAACACAACGAAUCAGUGUGAUCAUAGCAAACGCGUUCAUUGACAUGUAUUGCUAAAUGUGGGGUCAUACAUGAAGCUGAAAAUAGGGAGUGUCAGCGUUUGGAGUCAUCAAAACCUGAAGGAGAGAGGAAUUUAUCUAUUUUUUAUUCUGCUGAGAGAAGGGUGUGGCAGUUAGAGAAGAAUGAGAAUUUUACUGUUAAAUCAGCUUGUGCUCUCACCGAUGAUAUUCAGCAUCCAGGAUCUGAGAAUUUUGAUAAUUUACUGUAGCAAGUAUAUUUCCUCCUAAAAAAUUGCGAUGUUUUUGUGGUUGUUGUUACAAGGUAGUCUGAGUUCCAGAAAAUUUCUUGCCUAUAGAAGAAUUAUUAGUUAUGAUUAUGCAAUGGAUUGAGUGUGAUGGGUGUAUGCUGAAGACUAUUCAGCUUUCCUUGCAGGAAUGAAAUCAUUUGUCAAAUGGAAAAUUUCAGUGCAAAGUCAUCUAUAUACUUUGUUGUGAUAUCUUAUAGUCUAUUAAGCCUAUUAUUGCUGCUUUGAAAAGCGCGAAGAAGAAAGUUGGUUGCUAUACAAAACUCCUGCUAAGAAACUAGAAGAAAGAAAGCGAUUUGCUGCACCUCAUGAUGUAUCAAAAACAAGAACACCCAACAUAGUUCCAUUCAUUUCAAUGAAAUGAAUGCUCGAAUUCCAAGCACAUAAACUUGUAAUUGUAAAGGCCAAUGCUUAAGUACCCGAUAAAAAUGAAGCAAACUCAUCAAACAAAUCCCUAGUGAUUCUGAAAAAAGGGUUAAAACAUGUACAAUUUUUUUUUAAUUUAUAUAUUUUAUGAAUAUGUUUUUUUUCUCUUCUCAGCUUCACUCACAACUACACUAAGAUAAGAUUUUUCUUUGUUCUUCUUUUUUUUUACUUUUUUUCAUUAUAUUUGUUUUUUUAUAAAUUUUUAUGUUCUUAAUAAUUGUAUGAAUGUUUUUGUAGGAUUUUUUUUUUUCAUAUGAGGUCAAUGUUGUUGUUGUUUUAUUUUUAGUUGAUUUUCUUCUCUUUUUUUUCCAAGCAACUCAAUUCCGAGUAUUAUGGAGUGUUAAAUUAUAUUAAUUUAAUUAUUUUCUAGUUUUGUUAAAUAGAUUUUUUUAAAAAAAUAUUUUUAAAUAAUCACCGACAGAAUUGUAUAUGGUAUUUUUUUAUUAUAUAACAAUUUUCCCAGGGGAAAUACCGACAGAAUGAAGCGGGUAUUUUUUUUACGCGCAUCUUUCGUCUGUAAAACCAUCUGGUUUUUUUUUUACCGACAGAAUUAACGACAGAUGAUGGAAUUACCGAUGAACAUUAUUCCGACGGACGUAUUCCAUCGGCGAAUUAGUCGGUAAAAUUUUCACCAACGGAAAGGUAAUCUCACGCCGAUGGAAAAAUUCCGUUGAUAAAACUGUUAAAUGUUGUAGUGUAGUAUAAUUAUGAGAUUCCUAUUAUAUCAAAGCAUUGUUCCUAAAAUGUUCCUAGUUGAUGCUCUCUUAAAUACUAGACAUUUAUUAGAGCAAUUGAGACUGAUACAUAUUAUAUUCUUUCUUUUAUGAAAUGAAGCAGCUGUUAUAAGACAUGUACACUAAACUGACCCGCGUGAGAAUUUCAUAUGGAAAGAUCACCAAUGUCUAUGGAAAGGCUCACAUGAUGGUUGUGUAAGUGAUCUUUAAACUUAAUAUCACUAAGUUAUCUUAAAUAAAUAAUGUUCUGCUUUGAUUCGUUACAUGUUAUCUUAAUCGAGGUAAUAAAAGGGUAGACAUUGAGUAUACAUUGAACUAUAUGAAAGUAUUUGAGUGAUCAAGGGAGGAUUCAUUACCCUAUGUGAAUUAGAGAAAAUAUUUCAUAUGUUCUCAAAUAGUAUUGACUGAGAAAUCCUUGGCCAAGAUGGAAUAAGAUUUGAAAAGAGUUUUAAAUCUUAUUCCAAUGAUCAAUGACUAUUAUAUAGAGAACAAACAUGAUUUUAUAUGGCAGACAUACUUCAUGCUUUAAUGUUAAAUCAGAACAUUAUUGAUGAAAGGAUAUUAAUUACACUGAAAAACUAGUCACUCAAAGGUUAAGUCAAACCACUAAUGACUUCUCUAAUAUUUAGGGAAUCAUGACACGUUGUUAGACAAUGCACCUGAUCUUUAAAUAUAAAUUAAUCAAUUGUUUAAUUGAUAAUAAAUUAAAUUGUUUAAUUUAUUUAAUUAGAAUUAUAAUUUAUAUUUGGGCCAACAUAUUAGGAACUUAAUGGGUCACACACAUUAAGAACCACUAGUCAUAAAUUAAACUAGGAUAAUUUAAUUAGGUAUAACUUGAUUAAAAUAUAUUUUAGAAAUUAAGGGCUAGAAUACAAUUAAUACAAAUAUUAUAUUUCUAGACCUAGAAAAAUCAAGAAAGGACUCGAUUAAGUUAAUAUGUAAAAUUAUCCUGAAUUAAAAUAUAGAUAUUAUUCAAGGGGCAAAUUGAAAUGUCUUCUAAUUUAUAGGAUUUUUUAAAUUUUUCUAUAAAUAGUAAGCUAUGCUUCUUAAUUAAUGCUUCUUAAUGUUUCAGUUUCAUCCUCAACAUUUACUCAAUUGGAGACCGGGGUAUGUUAUUUUUAUUUAUUUUCUUUCUAUUGAUAUUUUCAUUGAUUUUUAAAAUAACUCAAUUUAUCUCAGGUCUUUUUAUUUGUCUUUCUUUGUUGAAUUUUCUUUAGCUAGUUUUCUAAAUUGAUUUUUUUGUCUAGUUAUAUCAUUCAAUAUUAAAUUAGUUAGGAAUUAAGCUUAUUUAUAUUGCCCGGGUGUAGGAUUAGAAAGUUUGUUAUUUAGCCAUAGGUUUCAAGUUUAAGACAUUAGCCCAGGUUUAGAAAGUUCAUCUAAAUAUUAUUAGUGAUUAGGCUCUUUUCUAUUUUUAUAUGCUUUCUAUAUGAAUCUUUGUGUAAACCCCCAUAAAUAAAAAUAAAAUAAAAUAAAAUAAAACAUAGGAUCAAAGUAAUGAGGUUUUGAUGAGUAAUGGAGAUUUGGUAUGAAAGAAAUGAAUAAAUAGUAGGAAAGAUAAUAAAUGUGUCAUGUAAGAGAGAUAAUCUCCAUAGAUAAAUUUAAAGGUAUUAUUGAAAUCAAAAUGAGGGUUAUGAUUUUUAGUUUAAAACUCGUAACGUUGGCGAAACCCGUGACGAGAUGGAUAAAAAAAUAAAAAAAAUGAGAAGAUAUGUAAACCCCCGUCAAAAAACUUAUUUUGACAAAUUAGUGAUAAAUGUCACACCCGACAUCGCGGCGGCCUUAAAAAUGGUUCUCAAAUUAUGGAAAAAAUAAAGAAUAGAUUUCUAGCAUCUAGUUCUUUUAGGGGAAAAAGGUCUUGUUUAAAGAGUCGCCACCUAGUAUUAUGGUCACUAGGAACCCUAACUGGUCAAUAGAGAUUCUAUGGUACGGGAUUGGUUACGUAAAAGGGAAGAUAUUAUCACCCCUUAAACGUUCUGCCUGAGGCAGACUGCAUUAAUGGUUUUUUCUUAAAGUGCUAAAUUUUUAUUGGUUUAUGCUCUGAUGGUUUAUUCGAAUAUUCCUGACUCUGACACUAGUGAAUAUUCAACUACAGAUAAUUCCAACUAUGACGUUGGUAAAUAUUACGUAGCUGUAAAAUAAAUUAGAUCAAUAUUUUUUAUUCCCUUCUCUAGCGCUAGUGAAUAAAUAAAUAAAAAUAAAUUUAUUUUUAAGCAUGCACAUAUUUUUAGUUUUCUAGCUAAAUAAAAUAAAAUACAACGAAUAAAAAUAAUAUAAAUUUAGACCGGUAUUUUUAUUCCUGACUCUGGCGUCAGUGAAUAAACUAAUAAAUUUAUAUUAUUUUUAUUCAUGCAUAUACAUUUUUUAUUUAUUUUUUAUUUUUUCUACUUUUUUUAUUUUUUCGUUUUUUUUGUUUUUUCUAUAUUUUGAGGGCUGGGCUCGGCCUGGCCCAGCCCAGCCGGUCACUGGCCCAAGCCAGUGACCGGUUGGGUGCAUAAAGCACGCGUGAAUUAAAAUGCAAGGAGGGAAAGAGCAACUUACAUGGCGCUGCACUUGAAGAUGAGUAUGACGGGGAUGGAGGACUGGCCGGCUGAUGCUAUUUUCUCCUCCUCUUUUUUUCUUGGUGUUCCUCUGUUUGCGGCUUCGUCCUCCUGUGUUCCCUUCGUGUUCUGGGUUCUGAAGACCAGGGCGAAUCUGGGUGCGCUGGCUUUUUCUCCGGUUGCUUCUCCCCAGUUUGUGCCCUGUUUGCGUCUUCGUCCUCAUGUGUUCCCUUUGUGUUCUUCGUUUUCGUCUCCUUUUGUUUGCGUCUGUUUGCCCUAUAGAGGGCAGUGGCCCCCCUUUUCCUCCGUGGCCUUCUCUGGCUUUUAUAAAGCUGGAGGACGGCCUCUGUUUCUUUGAGCAGAAACAGGGGAACCGAAGUCUGCCCUUUUUAUCUCUUCACUAAUCCCCUCGGUUUUUGCCCCUGCUCAGGACAAAGGAGAUGGUAAUAAAAGCAUGACGUUCUGCAGGUUGAACGUGAGCUCCCUCUGGUUUCUCUCUUUUCUUUUUUUUUAGUUUCUUCUUCCUCUGUUUUCUUCUUCCUAUCCUCGGUUCUGCCCCAGUUUUUUCUUUUUCUCCCGUUCGUCGCUUUCUCCUUGCCCCUUGCGCUCUCUCAUCUUCUCUGGCUUUAUAGCAAGAGAAUGCCAAGCACUUUGAAACGGCUUCCACCCUUUACUCCAGCAACGGCUCCUGCGAAUAAGAUGAACAGCGCUCCUUCAAACGACGCCGUUUUGGGAUAUGAGGUGGAUAUUUUCGUCUUGACCCGUGAAAUUUCGAAACUGUUGUAAUUAAGCCCCUGGUUUGAACUGUAAUUUCCCCUGCAUUUCGGUGCCAUUUACAAGUUAGUCCUUGGACUUUAAUCUGUUGCCAUCGUGCCCCCAAUUAACCCCAAACUUUGCUAUUUCUUCAAUUAAGUCCCUGAUUAAUUUAAUUAAAUCUAAGUCUAAUUAAGUCUAAAACUUAUCAAUUCUCUAAUUAAGCCCUUGAUUGAUUAAUUAAAUUAAUUCCAAGCUCAAUUAAGUCUCAAAACUUAUCAAUUAUCCAAUUGAACCCUUGAUUGAAUUAAUUAAAUUAAUUCCAAGCUCAAUUAAGUCUCAAAACUUAACAAUUCUCCAAUUAAACCCUUAAUUGGAUUAAUUAAAUUAAUUCCAAGCUUAAUUAGAUUAAUUCCAAAGUUUAAUUAAACCCCAAAACUUCCAAUCAUUGCCCUUAAACCAAAUUUUAAUUCAUUCUUCAUUUAUUUUAUUUUACUUGUUUUUUUUUCAUCAUUAUUAUUUUUUUAUCAUCAUUUUUUUUUAUCCUUUUCAAUAAAUAAAAUAUUAUUAAAAUAAAAUGGUCAAUAUCAAGAAACAACAUUUUCUAAAAUCACAAGUGCCAAAAAUAAUGGGAAGGAUGGGCUAGGUAAAAUACAAUUAACUGAUAACAAACCUUAUUUAUAUAUUCUUGUAGUUUUUUUAUUAAAUGGGGUCCUUGGCCAUUGCCCAUGUUGCCCAAAAUGCUCUAGCUCACUAAACACUUAGACAAGCAUGCAAGAUCUUCAGCAAGUGUUUGGUUUUCGCAAGUUAGAACGAACGAGGUGCUCGAGAGGCAAUACGAGCGUACCUCCCGACUCAUUUAGUCUUUGAAAAAGCGUAGUCAUAAGCCUGCGUUUCUCUUGUUCUAUCUACAAAUAAUCCAUCAAGAUUUAAAUAACGCCAUGCGAAAUCGAUCAAAUGAACAAGAUUUCCGAAAUCUCUCGCUCGAUGUCUUUCUACCGUGAAUACACUAGCUAGCUAGUAUAAAUUAACAAGGUCCUUGAAAGAAACCAUAUCAAUCCAGCAGAUAGCUUAAACAUAACCAUUUCUCUCUUUUUUCACGACCCUUGAGAAAAAAAUGCAGAUCUUCAGCAAAGUGUUGAGAGAUACUGAUGUCCAUGUUCGGUUCUCGUUCCCAACUCAUUGCUUAGAGCAUUUAGAUUUUGCUGGAAAUAAUUAUGUUGAUUUGUAUGUUAAAGAUAGCUGUGGUGAGCUUCGAGUUAUUCGUUGCCUGAAGAGAAAUGGAGUUUAUGACAAGCCAGUGCUUUCUAUGGGCUGGCUUAAAUUUGUUGCUGAUUAUGGACUGAGAGUUGGUGACAAGGUUGUUCUUCAUCGUGAGGAUGACCAUAACCUGGGGUCACAGUUCAUGAUUGAAGCUAAGAGGAGAAUCAUGCUGCUUGGUGAGGAGGCUUGGGGUGAUGUGACAAGAGCUAACUAGCUAUUAUUUGGAUGUUCGGCCAUAUCCAGAUAUAUAUAGAAGAAUGAAUUUAUGUAUGUGUUUAUGUUUGAGUGUUCGUAGUGAUCAUAAUCAAUGUCAUCUGCGUCAGUCUAAUUAAAUAAAUAUGUUGCUGUUCUUGGUUUCUUGAAAAUGUAUUACGUGCAUGUAAUUCUCAGCAAUAAUGGAUUUAAUUAAUUAUAUAUGAUCAGAUUCUGUCUCUAAUAGUAUGAGUUAUAUAGUAUAUAUGUACUGAUCUCAAAUUCCGUUUCCAGGAGUUUUUUUUUUUUUUUUCCUUCAAGUUUUUACAUUUCCAGGUUUUUCAAUUUUGUUGGUUUAAAUCAUGGGAAAUUCAUUGGUGAUGCUAAGAAACAAAGAUCGUUGUUUCAAAUCCUAUGUUGUCAACUCUUUCUAUUUUAUUUGGAAUGAGUUAUAUAUUUCAUUUCAGUUUAAAAAAUAAAAAAAACUAAGAACGGAUUUUAUCUUGCUUAAAAAAAUAUUAUCUAGUUUUACCAUAUCAAUUAUAUUUCUCGAUCCAACUAUUGAAUCAGGCUGAAAUUAUAUGAGUCUCCAGAUAUAUUGUGAUAUUUCAAGUUAAAAGUUUAGAAAUGCCUUGCAACAUUUUCUGAAUUUUGUUUCUAAAAGUUAUUUUUUUAUGUUUUUUUCAAUUUUAUCAUUUAACAAUAGGUUUAUUAAAACUUAAACUGCAUAAUUUGUUUUGAUUUAUUUUAUUUAUCAUGCAUUUGAAAAGUUAAUUUUUAUUUUUAUUUUUUGCUAUUUUGUGCGCUUUUCAAGUGUCUGAAAAUGAAGAUUUCCAUUGAUUUAAAACCAUAGAGACUCCAUAUAUAUAGUUUUUGAAAUCAUGGGAACUAACUCAUUGGUGAUGCUAAGAAACAAAGAUCGAUGGAUUCAAAUACUAUGGUGUCAAUAUUGAGAUAUAAUCCUAUCGUAACAACAUAUCAUUUAUAAAAUUAUAUUUUCCAAUCUAAUUAUUAGAUUAUGCUAAAAUUUUAUAACAAAUCUCCUAACAUAUUAUGAUACCUCAUGUUAAAAGUUUAGAAAGGCUUGCAAAACUGUCAAUUGCAUUUAUAAUUUUGUUUUGAAAGUUUAUCCUUUUAUCUUUCUUUUUUUUUAGAUUUGAUUAUUUUUCAAUUUUUUAUUUAACAAUAAGUUUAUUAAAAAUUGAGCUAUAUAAUAUUUUUAAUCAAAUUAUAUUUUUAUUAGUUGUAUAAAUUAUGUGCUUUAAAUUAAUAUUUUAAAUUAUAAACAGUUUGGAACGAUAUGUGAAAACGCUAUGAAACUAAAACAUGAAAAAACAGAACACUAACUGGAACGGAUUUGUUUAAACAGAGCAAUUGUAACAUGGACUCCACCAUUAGCCUGUGAACUCAAGAUUCCAACUUCCCCUUUCCUUCCUAGUUUAUGUGAAGUUUGCUUACUCAUUCACAUCAGAGGACAGUUUUCUUUUCUUUAUUUUUCUUUUGUAAAGAAGUUUGAAGCAUCAGGAAACUAGCUCAGUAUUGAAUUGAAACAUGUCUAGUCCUUUAAAAUUCACAGAACGUAACAGGGAUAGUGAGAGUAAUUCAAUAAAGAAGCACUCAAACCAUAUCAUACAUAACUGAGAAGAGAAACUUACUUCGUUCCUCCUCCUCUUUUGAUAAGCCCAGAUGGAGGGAUUCACAGAAGGCAUCAAAAUUGCCCCAAACCUGUAGCAAAACGCAAAGUUGGUUGGCAUACAAUACUCCUGCUAAGGAACUUGAAGAAAGAAAGCGAUUUGGCAUCGCUGCAGCAGCUAGAGAGAUCUUGAAAGAGAUGCUUAGCCUACCUCUUUACAUGUAUCAAAAACAAGAACACCCAAUAUUCCAAUUCUGGUUCACAUCCAAGAUAUUGAAGAGGUCAAUGCUGCGGUCAAUGCAGACGAGAGUGUUGAGGUCAACAGCCAAGUCUCCAUGAUUUGCUUCCUAAUUGGAUCCUCAAAAACAAAGAGCAAAUACCAUGAGAAUAUUCGAAAGCAAUAAUUGAAGGGGCUUAAGCAAAGAUGCCGUUCAUAUAUAUUA